CCUAAUCUAAUCUUAAAAAUUCCUUUGCCUUGUGAAUUGUCAUGUUGAUUUAGUCACAUUAAAGCAACUGUAUCCCUGAUAGCACACAAGACGUCUAUUUGACGUCUGCAUUUACAUCUGCAAGACAUUUUUUUUAUUUAUUUUUUUGCUCAUCUGCAAUACAUCUGAGACAUUUCCUCUAAGAUGACAAAUAAACGUUCAGAAAAUGUCUUUAAGAUGUUUAUGAUUUAAAAUGCAUGUAAAACUGACAUCUUAAAGACGUCUAUCAGAUGUUUGUACACAGCAGAUGCUUUCCAGAUGAAGCGAUCUUUAAGUGUGUGCCAUAUGGGAUGUAGUUUUGUGUAUUUUUGUGCCUUUGGAGCCCCCUACAGUUAAGUGAGUGGAAUUCACUGUCGUAGGUGACAAAAUUUGCUGUACACGUGCAUUUAAUCCACCCUUUUCGCGGAAUUUCGUACGCUCAUCAGGCGUUUGGGAAGCGUGGGAAAGAAGCCGAUCGCAUUUGGAAGUCAGUGUACCAUUACAAUGACUUUAAAACUGUUAUUCCAAGAGCCAUCUAAUAUGACUUCUGAAGAUUGCUGGAAUAACACACACGAAUCAUAAGGACUACAUAUGUGGUACUUUCAUUUGCUUUUUGGUGCUUCACAGACACAAGUAUCGUCUGUUCCCUCAUCUGCUUGUUUCGUGAAUGAAAACAUUAUGGGUUGAGAAUAAGGGGCAGGAUCCUGUAGUGGUGUGGUGAGUAAGCAGUCCCUUUGAAGUGUACAGAUGGGUUAAAAUGUGAGACCACAGCAGCAGCAUUCUGCACAUGAGGAAAGCAGCCAUUACCUCCAGGUUCCCUCCAUUAGUGGAGAGUGAAGGCCAAGGCAGAGCAAACAGUUGGACUGUUUUCAUCAUGAUGAAAGGAAGGUAGGCCACAGACUCAGGGAUGGAAUAACACCAGUGUUGUUCUAGAGAUGUUUUGGGGUCAGAAGAUGACGAAGAGGAAACAGUUCUAAAAAAAAAGAGACUAUUUGAAUGCAUAAGAUGCCUGGGGAGGAGGAAAAACAUCCUUGAUGCACUCUGGAUUUGUUAAAACUUUUUAAAUGCUGAUGCAUAAAUUGUAAAGCUGGAGUUAAACAUGAUUAAUUUUAGAAUCAAGUGGAAUCAAGUAGAAUCAAGUUUG
Cyprinus carpio (common carp) is the source of this 1162-nucleotide long non-coding RNA. Lineage: Eukaryota; Metazoa; Chordata; Actinopteri; Cypriniformes; Cyprinidae. The record is from Ensembl.